This 313-nucleotide ribosomal RNA is filed under the name Listeria monocytogenes. RNAcentral's name for it is "bacterial SSU rRNA". It matches the Rfam family "Bacterial small subunit ribosomal RNA", at positions 1 to 302 of the family's 1533-position model. Lineage: Bacteria; Bacillati; Bacillota; Bacilli; Caryophanales; Listeriaceae. The record is from RNAcentral.
UUUAAAGAGAGUUUGAUCCUGGCUCAGGACGAACGCUGGCGGCGUGCCUAAUACAUGCAAGUCGAACGAACGGAGGAAGAGCUUGCUCUUCCAAAGUUAGUGGCGGACGGGUGAGUAACACGUGGGCAACCUGCCUGUAAGUUGGGGAUAACUCCGGGAAACCGGGGCUAAUACCGAAUGAUAAAGUGUGGCGCAUGCCAUGCUUUUGAAAGAUGGUUUCGGCUAUCGCUUACAGAUGGGCCCGCGGUGCAUUAGCUAGUUGGUAGGGUAAUGGCCUACCAAGGCAACGAUGCAUAGCCGACCUGAGAGGGUG